GUUCUCUGUUUAUUACAGAGCAAAAGAAGGGAGGGGAAGAGUGAGCGAAUGAGGGAGGGUGGAACAGAGGUAGAGAGAUUCACACAGCAUAGCCAUCACUGGGUAGACAGCAUCCUUCCGAAACACACUCACGAGCAAACAAAAAGAGGCUAAACACAUCAGAAUCCUUUCAGACGACAACAGAACACAGUCCUUCAACAGAGGUUGCUCUCCAGGAUGGCUGGCAUAAAGGAUCAGCAGUUCACUGAAGAGAAACCGCUACUGCCAGAAUCCAGGGGACAGGAAACAGAGAUGGCUAAAGGACAGUGUGUGCACGCGCUGCCCUGUGCUACGCCAUCCCCCCCCACGGCUCGCCCCCCAAAACGCUGGCAUGCCAUCGCCCAACACUGGCUCGGCCUGACACGCCGUCGGACCAGCGGGUACUUCCCGGUAGGCUAAUUACCGCACAGAGCAUGUCCACGCUUCCAACUAAAAGAUAGUCAUUUUUCUCAAGUCCUUUGUUACCAUAUCUCUGUUAGAAAAGACCAAACAAGGCCUAAUAUUUUCUCUCUCCCCAAGUCUCAUUCUCUAAAAACCCAUUCUGUUUCACAUAGCCUACUGUCUGAUUUGGGGAAAAAUUACAGAUUUGAAAUUGUGAUGCAACAUAAAAAUGUUCUUUUUGGCACAAUGUUUAUAUUUAAACACACUGCUAAUUAACAG
RNAcentral lists this long non-coding RNA (699 nucleotides) under Sinocyclocheilus grahami. RNAcentral's name for it is "lncRNA (ENSSGRG00000043634.1)". Lineage: Eukaryota; Metazoa; Chordata; Actinopteri; Cypriniformes; Cyprinidae. The record is from RNAcentral.